This 424-nucleotide ribosomal RNA is filed under the name bacterium. RNAcentral's name for it is "partial 16S ribosomal RNA". It matches the Rfam family "Bacterial small subunit ribosomal RNA", at positions 355 to 776 of the family's 1533-position model. The record is from RNAcentral.
UAAGGAAUAUUGGUCAAUGGAGGCAACUCUGAACCAGCCAUGCCGCGUGCAGGAAGACCGCCCUCUGGGUCGUAAACUGCUUUUAUCUGGGAAUAAACCUACUUACGUGUAAGUAGCUGAAUGUACCAGAAGAAUAAGGAUCGGCUAACUCCGUGCCAGCAGCCGCGGUAAUACGGAGGAUCCAAGCGUUAUCCGGAUUUAUUGGGUUUAAAGGGUGCGUAGGCGGCCUGUUAAGUCAGGGGUGAAAGACGGUAGCUCAACUAUCGCAGUGCCCUUGAUACUGACAGGCUUGAAUGAACUAGAGGUAGGCGGAAUGUGACAAGUAGCGGUGAAAUGCAUAGAUAUGUCACAGAACACCGAUUGCGAAGGCAGCUUACUAUGGUUUUAUUGACGCUGAGGCACGAAAGCGUGGGGAUCAAACAGG